This 189-nucleotide ribosomal RNA is filed under the name uncultured rumen bacterium. Its description in RNAcentral is "partial 16S ribosomal RNA". It matches the Rfam family "Bacterial small subunit ribosomal RNA", at positions 338 to 524 of the family's 1533-position model. The record is from RNAcentral.
CCUACGGGAGGCAGCAGUGAGGAAUAUUGGUCAAUGGGCGAGAGCCUGAACCAGCCAAGUAGCGUGCAGGAAGACGGCCCUACGGGUUGUAGACUGCUUUUAUGAGGGGAUAACGUGCGCCACGUGUGGUGUAUUGCAGGUACCUCAUGAAUAAGGACCGGCUAAUUCCGUGCCAGCAGCCGCGGUAAU